AUUGUCCGCCAGAGAACUACAAGCGAAAAACUAGAAACUCCAAGGACUUGGCGGUGCUCCAUAUCAACCUAGAGGAGCCUGUCCUAUAAUCGAUACCCCACGUUAAACCUUACCAUCUUUCGCCUACCAGCCUAUAUACCGCCGUCGUCAGCCUACCUUAUGAAAGCAAAAUAGUAAGCAAAACAGUUAACAACUAACACGUCAGGUCAAGGUGUAGCACAUAAGAUGGAAGAGAUGGGCUACAUUUUCUACCACAGAAUACACGAAUGACACAAUGAAACUUGUACCUAAAGGUGGAUUUAGUAGUAAGAUAAACAAGCAACACUAUCUUAAACCCGCUCUGGAGCGCGCACACACCGCCCGUCACCCUCAUCAC
Molecule: ribosomal RNA, 376 nt
Filed under: Flexiseps meva
Lineage: Eukaryota; Metazoa; Chordata; Lepidosauria; Squamata; Scincidae
Description: partial 12S ribosomal RNA
Rfam family: Bacterial small subunit ribosomal RNA
Source: RNAcentral